Molecule: long non-coding RNA, 384 nt
Filed under: Rattus norvegicus (Norway rat)
Lineage: Eukaryota; Metazoa; Chordata; Mammalia; Rodentia; Muridae
Description: long non-coding RNA NONRATT016261
Source: RNAcentral
UGUGCCCAACACCCACAUUUGCGCAGCACCAUUUCCUUGAGCUGUCCUGGUUACUGUGAGCCCAGAGAAGGUGCACAGGUCUGUCCUGGGUCUCCUCAGGUCCCUGUUGUUCCCAGCGCACCUUGACACCUGAAAAGGAGGGUCGACCAGCUCAGGAUCCCUGCGGGACAGGAAAAGGAGGGAAACCUUGACAUGGAAGAACUCCACGGUGAAAACGAAGGCAAGCUGGAAAAGGAGGGAAAGCCAGAAGAUGAAGUAGAGCCUGAAGAUGAAGAAAAGUCAGAUGAGGAAGAGAAGCCGGACAAGAAAGCAAAGCCAGCACGCCAGGGCAAGCUAGAGGAGGCGGCAAAGCCAGAUGAGCAGGGGCAAGAUGAGGGGAAGCCA